RNAcentral lists this ribosomal RNA (468 nucleotides) under uncultured bacterium. RNAcentral's name for it is "partial 16S ribosomal RNA". It matches the Rfam family "Bacterial small subunit ribosomal RNA", at positions 28 to 507 of the family's 1533-position model. The record is from RNAcentral.
GACGAACGCUGGCGGCGUGCUUAACACAUGCAAGUCGAACGGAAAGGCCCUGCUUUUGUGGGGUGCUCGAGUGGCGAACGGGUGAGUAACACGUGAGUAACCUGCCCUUGACUUUGGGAUAACUUCAGGAGACUGGGGCUCUUACCGGAUAGGAUCUCCUGCUCCAUGUUGUUGGUUGGAAAGUUUCGGCGGUUGGGGAUGGACUCGCGGCUUAUCCGCUUGUUUGUGGGGUAGUGGCUGACCAAGGCUUUGACGGGUAGCCGGCCUGAGAGGGUUACCGGCGACAUGGGGACUAAGAGACGGCGCAGACGGCUACGGGAGGCAGCAGGGGGGAGUAUGGCAGAAUGGGCGGAAGCCAGAUGCAGAAACGCCGCGUGCGGGAUGACGGCCUUCGAGUGGUAAACAGAUGUGGCAGGUGACGAAGAGUGAGUGACGGUAAUGGGUAAAGAAGCACCGGCUAACUACGUG